UACGGCUACAUCACGUUAAAAUACCGGUGUCCAUACGAUCAGUGAAUUUAAGCAACGUCGUACCUGGUCAGUACCUAGAUGGGUGACUACUUGGGAAUACCAGGUGAUGUAAG
Acanthosepion pharaonis is the source of this 113-nucleotide non-coding RNA. NCBI's taxonomy places the organism in Eukaryota, Metazoa, Mollusca, Cephalopoda, Sepiida, Sepiidae. The record is from the annotation of a GenBank genome assembly.